This 64-nucleotide transfer RNA is filed under the name Neurothemis fulvia. Its description in RNAcentral is "tRNA-Ile". The record is from RNAcentral. Lineage: Eukaryota; Metazoa; Arthropoda; Insecta; Odonata; Libellulidae.
AAUAAAGUGCCUGACAAAAGGGUUAUCUUGAUAGGAUAAAUUAUGUAAAUUUUUACCUUUAUUA